RNAcentral lists this ribosomal RNA (366 nucleotides) under Triticum aestivum (bread wheat). RNAcentral's name for it is "partial small subunit ribosomal RNA". Lineage: Eukaryota; Viridiplantae; Streptophyta; Magnoliopsida; Poales; Poaceae. The record is from RNAcentral.
UUGUUUGUCUUGGACCAACAUAAAAAAGUUGUUUCUAUUUUGGACCCGCUUUCAAUACCCACUUUCGGAAAGCAUAUACUUCAAACUAUGGCCAACGAUCUAAACCUUGCACUCCAAGCUGCAAACCCUGCCUUCAAGGAUGACAUUUUGAUAUGGGGGUGCAAAGUUCCCGCUGUUCCCACAAACUCAUACGGUCCCCUAUCUGGUUAUUUGGUUUUCAAUUUAAUGCACUCACGGCACGAUGGGACGCUACAUUUUCCAGCACCCAAGGAUGAUUUUGAACAAAGGAAGCGAUUUUUGGUUCAUAUUUUGAAGUAUGAAGAGAAUGAAGUUCUAAACAAUAUCCCUGAAGGAAAUAUGCCCUAG